RNAcentral lists this ribosomal RNA (497 nucleotides) under uncultured bacterium. RNAcentral describes it as "partial 16S ribosomal RNA". It matches the Rfam family "Bacterial small subunit ribosomal RNA", at positions 28 to 507 of the family's 1533-position model. The record is from RNAcentral.
GAUGAACGCUGGCGGCGUGCCUAAUACAUGCAAGUCGAGCGAACGGACGAGAAGCUUGCUUCUCUGAUGUUAGCGGCGGACGGGUGAGUAACACGUGGAUAACCUACCUAUAAGACUGGGAUAACUUCGGGAAACCGGAGCUAAUACCGGAUGAUAUUUUGAACCGCAUGGUUCAAAAGUGAAAGACGGUCUUGCUGUCACUUAUAGAUGGAUCCGCGCUGCAUUAGCUAGUUGGUAAGGUAACGGCUUACCAACGCAACGAUGCAUAGCCGACCUGAGAGCGUGAUCGGCCACACGGGAUCUGAGACACAGUCCAGACUCCUACGGGGGGCAGCAGUAGGGAAUCUUCCGCAAUGGGCGAAAGCCUGGCGGAGCAACGCCGCGUGAGUGAUGAAGGUCUUCGGAUCGUAAAACUCUGUUAUUAGGGAAGAACAUAUGUGUAAUUAACUGUGCACAUCUUGACGGUACCUAAUCAGAAAGCCACGGCUAACUACGUG